UAGGAGGCAGGAGAGGCAAGCGGUACUCAGUGGGUAGGGGUAAAAUCCGUUGAUCCAUUGAAGACCACCAGUGGCGAAGGCGGCUUGCCAGAAUGCGCUCGACGGUGAGGGAUGAAAGCUGGGGGAGCAAACCGGAUUAGAUACCCGGGUAGUCCCAGCCGUAAACGAUG
This 170-nucleotide ribosomal RNA is filed under the name uncultured archaeon. Its description in RNAcentral is "partial 16S ribosomal RNA". It matches the Rfam family "Archaeal small subunit ribosomal RNA", at positions 593 to 762 of the family's 1478-position model. The record is from RNAcentral.